Lactococcus garvieae Lg2 is the source of this 97-nucleotide regulatory RNA element. It matches the Rfam family "S10-Clostridia ribosomal protein leader". The record is from Rfam. NCBI's taxonomy places the organism in Bacteria, Bacillati, Bacillota, Bacilli, Lactobacillales, Streptococcaceae.
UAUUAGCGACGAAGCGAGAGGUUGCGACACACCCGAAAGUAUUGCCAUACUUCAGUGUCGGUUUUCCCGCUGAGCUAGCCUAUUAACAAAUAGACGA